UUUUGUAGAAUGAACCGGCGAGUUACGAUUUGAUGCAAGGUUAAGCAGUAAAUGUGGAGCCGUAGCGAAAGCGAGUCUGAAUAGGGCGUUUAGUAUUUGGUCGUAGACCCGAAACCAGGUGAUCUACCCUUGGUCAGGUUGAAGUUCAGGUAACACUGAAUGGAGGACCGAACCGACUUACGUUGAAAAGUGAGCGGAUGAACUGAGGGUAGCGGAGAAAUUCCAAUCGAACCUGGAGAUAGCUGGUUCUCUCCGAAAUAGCUUUAGGGCUAGCCUCAAGUGAUGAUUAUUGGAGGUAGAGCACUGUUUGGACGAGGGGCCCCUCUCGGGUUACCGAAUUCAGACAAACUCCGAAUGCCAAUUAAUUUAACUUGGGAGUCAGAACAUGGGUGAUAAGGUCCGUGUUCGAAAGGGAAACAGCCCAGACCACCAGCUAAGGUCCCAAAAUAUAUGUUAAGUGGAAAAGGAUGUGGCGUUGCCCAGACAACUAGGAUGUUGGCUUAGAAGCAGCCAUCAUUUAAAGAGUGCGUAAUAGCUCACUAGUCGAGUGACACUGCGCCGAAAAUGUACCGGGGCUAAACAUAUUACCGAAGCUGUGGAUUGUCCUUUGGACAAUGGUAGGAGAGCGUUCUAAGGGCGUUGAAGCAUGAUCGUAAGGACAUGUGGAGCGCUUAGAAGUGAGAAUGCCGGUGUGAGUAGCGAAAGACGGGUGAGAAUCCCGUCCACCGAUUGACUAAGGUUUCCAGAGGAAGGCUCGUCCGCUCUGGGUUAGUCGGGUCCUAAGCUGAGGCCGACAGGCGUAGGCGAUGGAUAACAGGUUGAUAUUCCUGUACCACCUAUAAUCGUUUUAAUCGAUGGGGGGACGCAGUAGGAUAGGCGAAGCGUGCGAUUGGAUUGCACGUCUAAGCAGUAAGGCUGAGUAUUAGGCAAAUCCGGUACUCGUUAAGGCUGAGCUGUGAUGGGGAGAAGACAUUGUGUCUUCGAGUCGUUGAUUUCACACUGCCGAGAAAAGCCUCUAGAUAGAAAAUAGGUGCCCGUACCGCAAACCGACACAGGUAGUCAAGAUGAGAAUUCUAAGGUGAGCGAGCGAACUCUCGUUAAGGAACUCGGCAAAAUGACCCCGUAACUUCGGGAGAAGGGGUGCUCUUUAGGGUUAACGCCCAGAAGAGCCGCAGUGAAUAGGCCCAAGCGACUGUUUAUCAAAAACACAGGUCUCUGCUAAACCGUAAGGUGAUGUAUAGGGGCUGACGCCUGCCCGGUGCUGGAAGGUUAAGAGGAGUGGUUAGCUUCUGCGAAGCUACGAAUCGAAGCCCCAGUAAACGGCGGCCGUAACUAUAACGGUCCUAAGGUAGCGAAAUUCCUUGUCGGGUAAGUUCCGACCCGCACGAAAGGCGUAACGAUUUGGGCACUGUCUCAACGAGAGACUCGGUGAAAUCAUAGUACCUGUGAAGAUGCAGGUUACCCGCGACAGGACGGAAAGACCCCGUGGAGCUUUACUGUAGCCUGAUAUUGAAAUUCGGCACAGCUUGUACAGGAUAGGUAGGAGCCUUUGAAACGUGAGCGCUAGCUUACGUGGAGGCGCUGGUGGG
Molecule: ribosomal RNA, 1589 nt
Filed under: Staphylococcus aureus
Lineage: Bacteria; Bacillati; Bacillota; Bacilli; Caryophanales; Staphylococcaceae
Description: partial 23S ribosomal RNA
Rfam family: Bacterial large subunit ribosomal RNA
Source: RNAcentral